Molecule: transfer RNA, 60 nt
Filed under: Pseudoniphargus elongatus
Lineage: Eukaryota; Metazoa; Arthropoda; Malacostraca; Amphipoda; Allocrangonyctidae
Description: tRNA-Met
Source: RNAcentral
UAAAAGGUAAGCUAAUAAAGCUAAUGGGCUCAUAACCCGUCUAUGAUUUUUCUCUUUUAU